GUUGAACGCUGGCGGCAUGCUUUACACAUGCAAGUCGAACGGUAACAGGCCGCCAGGUGCUGACGAGUGGCGAACGGGUGAGUAAUGCAUCGGAACGUGCCCAGUCGUGGGGGAUAACUACUCGAAAGAGUAGCUAAUACCGCAUACGAUCUAUGGAUGAAAGCGGGGGACCGUAAGGCCUCGCGCGAUUGGAGCGGCCGAUGUCAGAUUAGGUAGUUGGUGGGGUAAAGGUUCACCAAGCCAACGAUCUGUAGCUGGUCUGAGAGGACGACCCGCCACACUGGGACUGAGACACGGCCCAGACUCCUACGGGAAGCAGCAGUGGGGAAUUUUGGACGAUGGGCGAAAGCCUGAUCCAGCAAUGCCGCGUGCAGGAAGAAGGCCUUCGGGUUGUAAACUGCUUAUGUACGGAACGAAACGGCUCUGGUUAAUACCCGGGGAUAAUGACGGUACCGUAAGAAUAAGCUCCGGCUAACUACGUG
Molecule: ribosomal RNA, 482 nt
Filed under: uncultured bacterium
Lineage: Bacteria
Description: partial 16S ribosomal RNA
Rfam family: Bacterial small subunit ribosomal RNA
Source: RNAcentral